RNAcentral lists this ribosomal RNA (253 nucleotides) under uncultured bacterium. RNAcentral's name for it is "partial 16S ribosomal RNA". It matches the Rfam family "Bacterial small subunit ribosomal RNA", at positions 524 to 776 of the family's 1533-position model. The record is from RNAcentral.
UACGUAGGGGGCAAGCGUUGUCCGGAUUUAUUGGGCGUAAAGAGCGUGUAGGCGGCCAAGCAGGUCCGCUGUGAAAACUCGAGGCUCAACCUCGAGACGUCGGUGGAAACCGUUUGGCUAGAGUCCGGAAGAGGAGAGUGGAAUUCCCGGUGUAGCGGUGAAAUGCGUAGAUAUUGGGAGGAACACCAGAUGCGAAGGCGGGUCACUGGGCUGAUACUGACGCUAAAGCGCGAAAGCCAGGGGAGCGAACGGG